Molecule: ribosomal RNA, 460 nt
Filed under: uncultured bacterium
Lineage: Bacteria
Description: partial 16S ribosomal RNA
Rfam family: Bacterial small subunit ribosomal RNA
Source: RNAcentral
CCUACGGGUGGCAGCAGUGAGGAAUAUUGGUCAAUGGACGAGAGCCUGAACCAGCCAAGUAGCGUGAAGGAAGACGGCCCUAUGGGUUGUAAACUUCUUUUAUCGGAGAAUAAAAUGUUCCACGUGUGGGAUUUUGCGUGUACCAGAAGAAUAAGGAUCGGCUAACUCCGUGCCAGCAGCCGCGGUAAUACGGAGGAUCCGAGCGUUAUCCGGCUUUAUUGGGUUUAAAGGGAGCGUAGGUGGAUCUUUAAGUCAGUCGGUAAAUUUUGCGGGUCAACCGUCGUAUUGCAGUUGAAACUGGCAGUCUUGAGUACAGUAGAGGUGGGCGGAAUGCGUGGUGUAGCGGUGAAAUGCUUAGAUAUCACGAAGAACUCCGAUUGCGAAGGCAGUUCACUGGACUGCAACUGACGCUGAGGCUCGAAAGUGUGGGGAUCGAACAGGAUUAGAUACCCCAGUAGUC